Molecule: ribosomal RNA, 477 nt
Filed under: uncultured bacterium
Lineage: Bacteria
Description: partial 16S ribosomal RNA
Rfam family: Bacterial small subunit ribosomal RNA
Source: RNAcentral
AUUGAACGCUGGCGGCAUGCCUUACACAUGCAAGUCGAACGGUAACAGGUUAAGCUGACGAGUGGCGAACGGGUGAGUAAUGUAUCGGAACGUGCCCAGUCGUGGGGGAUAACUGCUCGAAAGAGCAGCUAAUACCGCAUACGACCUGAGGGUGAAAGCGGGGGAUCGCAAGACCUCGCGCGAUUGGAGCGGCCGAUAUCAGAUUAGGUAGUUGGUGAGGUAAAGGCUCACCAAGCCGACGAUCUGUAGCUGGUCUGAGAGGACGACCAGCCACACUGGGACUGAGACACGGACCAGACUCCUACGGGAGGCAGCAGUGGGGAAUGUUGGACAAUGGGCGCAAGCCUGAUCCAGCCAUGCCGCGUGCGGGAAGAAGGCCUUCGGGUUGUAAACCGCUUUUGUCAGGGAAGAAAAGGUUCUGGCUAAUACCUGGGACUCAUGACGGUACCUGAAGAAUAAGCACCGGCUAACUACGUG